AUUGAACGCUGGCGGCAGGCCUAACACAUGCAAGUCGAGCGGAUGAAGGGAGCUUGCUCCUGGAUUCAGCGGCGGACGGGUGAGUAAUGCCUAGGAAUCUGCCUGGUAGUGGGGGAUAACGUCCGGAAACGGGCGCUAAUACUGCAUACGUCCUGAGGGAGAAAGUGGGGGAUCUUCGGACCUCACGCUAUCAGAUGAGCCUAGGUCGGACUAGCUAGUUGGUGGGGUAAAGGCCUACCAAGGCGACGAUCCGUAACUGGUCUGAGAGGAUGAUCAGUCACACGGGAACUGAGACACGGUCCAGACUCCUACGGGAGGCAGCAGUGGGGAAUAUUAGACAAUGGGCGAGAGCCUGAUCCAGCCAUGCCGCGUGUGUGAAGAAGGUCUUCGGAUUGUAAAGCACUUUAAGUUGGGGGGAAGGGCAGUAAGUUAAGACCUUGCUGUUUUGACGUUACCAACAGAAGAAGCACCGGCUAACUUCGUG
RNAcentral lists this ribosomal RNA (484 nucleotides) under uncultured bacterium. Its description in RNAcentral is "partial 16S ribosomal RNA". It matches the Rfam family "Bacterial small subunit ribosomal RNA", at positions 30 to 507 of the family's 1533-position model. The record is from RNAcentral.